UGCCCGGUAGCUCAGUGGCAGAGCAGGUGACUGUUAAUCACUUGGUCGCUGGUUCAAUCCCAGCCCGGGCAG
Molecule: transfer RNA, 72 nt
Filed under: Opitutaceae bacterium TAV4
Lineage: Bacteria; Pseudomonadati; Verrucomicrobiota; Opitutia; Opitutales; Opitutaceae
Also listed under: 1 other name
Rfam family: tRNA
About the family: Transfer RNA (tRNA) molecules are approximately 80 nucleotides in length.
Source: Rfam by way of RNAcentral